Molecule: ribosomal RNA, 496 nt
Filed under: uncultured Staphylococcus sp.
Lineage: Bacteria; Bacillati; Bacillota; Bacilli; Caryophanales; Staphylococcaceae
Description: partial 16S ribosomal RNA
Source: RNAcentral
CACGUAGUUAGCCGUGGCUUUCUGAUUAGGUACCGUCAAGACGUGCAUAGUUACUUACACAUUUGUUCUUCCCUAAUAACAGAGUUUUACGAUCCGAAGACCUUCAUCACUCACGCGGCGUUGCUCCGUCAGGCUUUCGCCCAUUGCGGAAGAUUCCCUACUGCUGCCUCCCGUAAGAGUCUGGACCGUGUCUCAGUUCCAGUGUGGCCGAUCACCCUCUCAGGUCGGCUACGCAUCGUUGCCUUGGUAAGCCGUUACCUUACCAACUAGCUAAUGCGGCGCGGAUCCAUCUAUAAGUGACAGCAAGACCGUCUUUCACUGUUGAACCAUGCGGUUCAACAUGUUAUCCGGUAUUAGCUCCGGUUUCCCGAAGUUAUCCCAGUCUUAUAGGUAGGUUAUCCACGUGUUACUCACCCGUCCGCCGCUAACGUCAGAGGAGCAAGCUCCUCGUCUGUUCGCUCGACUUGCAUGUAUUAGGCACGCCGCCAGCGUUCAU